UGACCUGCCCGGUGAAUUUCUUUUAAACGGCCGCGGUAUCUUGACCGUGCAAAGGUAGCAUAAUCAAUUGUCUUAUAAUUGAAGACUGGAAUGAAUGGUUGGAUGAAAUAGAAGCUGUCUUGUCUAUAUUUAUUAGAAAUUGGUUUUUAAAUGAAGAGAUUUAAAUGUGAUUGAUAGACAAGAAGACCCUAUUGAGCUUAAAAUAAUUUUGAGGGUAUAUUUUAUUAAUGUAGAUAUAGGUUUUGAAUUUUUUUUAGUUGGGGCGACUAAGGAGCAGGCGAUAGCAUCCUUUUAAACUUAGGAUUGUUGAAUUUUGAUCCAAUAUAGUUGAUUAAAAGAAAUAGUUACCGUAGGGAUAACAGCAUAUCCUUCUUUGAGAGUUCGUCUCGAAAAGGGGGGUUGUGACCUCGAUGUUGGACUAAAAAACCUAUAGGUGUAGUUGUUUAUA
Molecule: ribosomal RNA, 448 nt
Filed under: Larina sp. AJ-2009
Lineage: Eukaryota; Metazoa; Mollusca; Gastropoda; Architaenioglossa; Viviparidae
Description: partial 16S ribosomal RNA
Rfam family: Bacterial large subunit ribosomal RNA
Source: RNAcentral